UACAGAGGGGGCAAGCGUUAUUCGGAAUUAUUGGGCGUAAAGGGUGCGUAGGCGGGUCUUUUAAGUCAGGGGUGAAAUCCUGGAGCUCAACUCCAGAACUGCCUUUGAUACUGAGGAUCUUUGAGUACGGGGAGAGGUGAGUGGAACUGCGAGUGUAGAGGUGAAAAUUCGUAGAUAUUCGCAAGAACACCAGUGGCGAAGGCGGCUCACUGGCCCGAUACUGACGCUGAGGCACGAAAGCGUGGGGGAGGCAAACAGGG
This 260-nucleotide ribosomal RNA is filed under the name uncultured bacterium. Its description in RNAcentral is "partial 16S ribosomal RNA". It matches the Rfam family "Bacterial small subunit ribosomal RNA", at positions 524 to 777 of the family's 1533-position model. The record is from RNAcentral.